Molecule: ribosomal RNA, 762 nt
Filed under: Triticum aestivum (bread wheat)
Lineage: Eukaryota; Viridiplantae; Streptophyta; Magnoliopsida; Poales; Poaceae
Description: partial small subunit ribosomal RNA
Source: RNAcentral
AUGGGCAAAGAUGAUAUUCUUGGUGGUCAUAUGGAAGCGAUCGAUUAUGAGGCUGCAUUGCUUGUCCAAAGAGAGCACGUGGUGCAGGUGCCUUUCUCUCUUGAGGACCCGGAUUACAAGGGUCUUGAGCUAGAUCUGAUAGUGUUGUGCGAGAAGCAUGGGAAGCCAUCAGAGAGGCUUGUUGCAUUUGAAGGAACAAUGACUGGGAGAAGGUUCUUAGCAUGUGCAGAGCCGGAAGGUCAGAACUGUGGGUUUGUUCAGUGGGUUGAUGAGCAGUGGCCCCCAACAAUGGAGAAUGCAUUGCUGAAGCUUUGGUCAGUGGUUGAAGAGAGCAAGUCUGCUAGGGUGAAUGAUAAUCUUAAAAGUGCUUUAACUAUUCACCAUUUGACAGAAGAAAAGAAGAAGCUGGAUGCAGAUUAUGACAAGUUAGUGAAAGAUGUGCAUCAACUUGUGAACUUUCAGCAGGAUAGGGUUGUGGAUUUCAGUUAUCUGCAGUCAGCUGUCACAUAUCAGCACCAAUGCAGAGCUGAAUUGGUGGCUGGUAUGAAGGCAGAAAUGGCAAAGAAAGAUGCAGCUACAGAGAAGUUUCAACAGAAGUAUGAAAUCCUGUGCAACCUGACAAGUGCUCAAGCAAUUGCCAUCCAAAACCUCAAGUUGAAGAAUAUGAAAGAGAAGGAAUUGAUGAGUGAGGCUAUGAUGAAUUUGGAGUUGAAGAAUGCAGAGUUCACAAGUUUGAGGAGAAGCUCACCCAAGAGAAGCUAG